UCGAACGUGGUCUUCGGACCUAGUGGCGCACGGGUGAGUAACAUGUGGGAAUCUGCCUAAAGGUUCGGAAUAACUGCGGGAAACUGUAGCUAAUACCGGAUGUGUCUGCAAAGAGAAAGAUUUAUCGCCUUUAGAUGAGCCCGCACUAGAUUAGCUAGUUGGUGAGGUAACUGCUCCACCAAGGCUACGAUCUAUAGCUGAUUUGAGAGGAUGAUCAGCCACACUGGGACUGAGACACGGCCCAGACUCCUACGGGAGGCAGCAGUAGGGAAUAUUGGACAAUGGGGGCAACCCUGAUCCAGCAAUGCAGCGUGAGUGACGAAGGCCUUAGGGUUGUAAAACUCUUUCAUCGGUGAGGAUAAUGACAGUAGCCGAAGAAGAAGGACCGGCUAAUUCCGUGCCAGCAGCCGCGGUAAUACGGAAGGUCCUAGCGUUGUUCGGAAUUACUGGGCGUAAAGCGCAUGUAGGCGGAACAGAAAGUUAGAAGUGAAAUCCCUGGGCUCAACCUAGGAAUUGCUUUUAAAACUUCUGUUCUGGAAUUCAGGAGAGGAAAAUGGAAUUUCCAGUGUAGAGGUGAAAUUCGUAGAUAUUGGAAGGAACACCAGUGGCGAAGGCGAUUUUCUGGACUGAUAUUGACGCUGAGAUGCGAAGGCAUGGGUAGCAAACGGGAUUAGAUACCCCGGUAGUCCAUGCAGUAAACGAUGGGUGCUAGUCGUCGGACUUUUGUUCGGUGUCGUAGCUAACGCGUUAAGCACCCCGCCUGGGGAGUACGGUCGCAAGAUUAAAACUCAAAUAAAUUGACGGGGACCCGCACAAGCAGUGGA
This 824-nucleotide ribosomal RNA is filed under the name uncultured bacterium. RNAcentral's name for it is "bacterial SSU rRNA". It matches the Rfam family "Bacterial small subunit ribosomal RNA", at positions 62 to 936 of the family's 1533-position model. The record is from RNAcentral.